AUGCCUUUUGGGUUAACUAAUGCACCUAGUACUUUCAUGAGGUUAAUGAAUGAAGUUUUACGUGCUUUCAUUGGACGAUUUGUGGUAGUUUACUUUGAUGACAUAUUGAUUUAUAGCAAAUCUUUGGAGGAACAUUUGGAACAUUUACGUGAUGUUUUUAUUGCUCUACGUGAUGCACGUUUGUUUGGCAACCUUGGAAAGUGCACCUUUUGCACCAACCGAGUAUCUUUUCUUGGCUAUGUUGUUACUCCACAGGGAAUUGAAGUUGAUAAAGCCAAGAUUGAAGCUAUUGAGAGUUGGCCGCAGCCCAAAACGGUCACACAAGUGAGGAAUGUAUUGCAGAAUUGU
This 348-nucleotide ribosomal RNA is filed under the name Triticum aestivum (bread wheat). Its description in RNAcentral is "partial small subunit ribosomal RNA". Lineage: Eukaryota; Viridiplantae; Streptophyta; Magnoliopsida; Poales; Poaceae. The record is from RNAcentral.